This 324-nucleotide unclassified non-coding RNA is filed under the name soil metagenome. RNAcentral's name for it is "partial contains 5.8S ribosomal RNA, internal transcribed spacer 2, and large subunit ribosomal RNA". The stretch from base 1 to 120 matches the Rfam family "5.8S ribosomal RNA", at positions 35 to 154 of the family's 154-position model. The record is from RNAcentral.
GAUGAAGAACGUAGCGAAAUGCGAUAAGCAGUGUGAAUUGCAGAAUUCAGUGAAUCAUCGAAUCUUUGAACGCACAUUGCGCCCCUUGGUAUUCCAUGGGGCAUGCCUGUUCGAGCGUCAUUUGUACCUUCAAGCUUUGCUUGGUGUUGGGUGUUUGUCCCUCGGGACUCGCCUUAAAGUCAUUGGCAGCCAGUGUUUUGGUUUUGAAGCGCAGCACAAGUCGCGAUUCAAGGCUAUCCGCCCGCUUCCACAAGCCUUUUUCACUUUUGACCUCGGAUCAGGUAGGGAUACCCGCUGAACUUAAGCAUAUCAAUAAGCGGAGGA